GUGCCAGCCGCCGCGGUAAUACGUAGGUGGCGAGCGUUGUCCGGAUUUACUGGGCGUAAAGGGCGUGCAGGCGGUCUGCUAAGUCUAGGGUGAAAGCUCCCGGCUCAACUGGGAGAGGUCCUUGGAUACUGACAGACUUGAGGGAGGCAGAGGAGAAUGGAAUUCCCGGUGUAGUGGUGAUAUGCGUAGAUAUCGGGAGGAACACCAGUGGCGAAGGCGGUUCUCUGGGCCUUACCUGACGCUGAGACGCGAAAGCGUGGGGAGCGAACCGGAUUAGAAACCCUCGUAGUCC
RNAcentral lists this ribosomal RNA (292 nucleotides) under uncultured bacterium. RNAcentral's name for it is "partial 16S ribosomal RNA". It matches the Rfam family "Bacterial small subunit ribosomal RNA", at positions 505 to 796 of the family's 1533-position model. The record is from RNAcentral.